AUACGGAGGGUGCAAGCGUUAUCCGGAAUCAUUGGGUUUAAAGGGUCCGCAGGCGGAUUAAUAAGUCAGUGGUGAAAUCCUCUCGCUCAACGAGAGAACUGCCAUUGAAACUGUUAGUCUUGAAUUCGGUCGAAGUAGGCGGAAUGUGUCAUGUAGCGGUGAAAUGCAUAGAUAUGACACAGAACACCGAUAGCGAAGGCAGCUUACUAGACCUGGAUUGACGCUCAUGGGCGAAAGCGUGGGGAGCGAACAGGAUUAGAAACCCCUGUAGUCC
Molecule: ribosomal RNA, 274 nt
Filed under: uncultured bacterium
Lineage: Bacteria
Description: partial 16S ribosomal RNA
Rfam family: Bacterial small subunit ribosomal RNA
Source: RNAcentral